This 77-nucleotide transfer RNA is filed under the name Flavobacteriales bacterium TMED288. Its description in RNAcentral is "tRNA-Met". It matches the Rfam family "tRNA". Rfam says of the family: Transfer RNA (tRNA) molecules are approximately 80 nucleotides in length. Lineage: Bacteria; Pseudomonadati; Bacteroidota; Flavobacteriia; Flavobacteriales. The record is from RNAcentral. RNAcentral also lists the same sequence under 1 other name.
GGCGAGGUAGCUCAGAUGGUUAGAGCGUCGGAUUCAUAACCCGGAGGUCAGGAGUUCAAAUCUCCUUCUCGCUACUA